AGGAAUAUUACUACACCAAGGAGGAGCAG
Molecule: non-coding RNA, 29 nt
Filed under: Cricetulus griseus (Chinese hamster)
Lineage: Eukaryota; Metazoa; Chordata; Mammalia; Rodentia; Cricetidae
Source: RNAcentral